AGGAUGAACGCUAGCGGCAGGCCUAAUACAUGCAAGUCGAACAGGAUUUGGGAGCUUGCUCCUGAUGAGAGUGGCGCACGGGUGCGUAACACGUAUGUAACCUACCUUAAUCUGGGGUAUAGCCUCUCGAAAGAGAGAUUAACACCGCAUAACAUUAUCGGAUAGCAUUUUCUGAUAAUCAAAUAUUUAUAGGAUUAAGAUGGGCAUGCGGAACAUUAGCUAGUUGGUAAGGUAAUGGCUUACCAAGGCUACGAUGUUUAGGGGAUCUGAGAGGAUGACCCCCCACACUGGUACUGAGACACGGACCAGACUCCUACGGGAGGCAGCAGUAAGGAAUAUUGGUCAAUGGGCGCAAGCCUGAACCAGCCAUGCCGCGUGCAGGAAGACGGCCCUACGGGUUGUAAACUGCUUUUGACGGAGCGAAAAGGCUUUCUUAAUACAGGGAUCAAUGACGGUACCGUAAGAAUAAGCACCGGCUAACUACGUGCCAGCA
This 493-nucleotide ribosomal RNA is filed under the name uncultured bacterium. RNAcentral's name for it is "SSU rRNA". It matches the Rfam family "Bacterial small subunit ribosomal RNA", at positions 26 to 513 of the family's 1533-position model. The record is from RNAcentral.